Molecule: ribosomal RNA, 460 nt
Filed under: uncultured bacterium
Lineage: Bacteria
Description: partial 16S ribosomal RNA
Rfam family: Bacterial small subunit ribosomal RNA
Source: RNAcentral
CCUACGGGAGGCAGCAGUGAGGAAUAUUGGUCAAUGGACGCAAGUCUGAACCAGCCAUGCCGCGUGCAGGAAGACGGCUCUAUGAGUUGUAAACUGCUUUUGUACGAGGGUAAACGCAGAUACGCGUAUCUGUCUGAAAGUAUCCUACGAAUAAGGAUCGGCUAACUCCGUGCCAGCAGCCGCGGUAAUACGGAGGAUUCAAGCGUUAUCCGGAUUUAUUGGGUUUAAAGGGUGCGUAGGCGGUCGGAUAAGUUAGAGGUGAAAUCCCGAGGCUCAACUUCGGAAUUGCCUUUGAAACUGUUCGACUAGAGAGUAGUAGAGGUAGGCGGAAUGUAUGGUGUAGCGGUGAAAUGCUUAGAGAUCAUACAGAACACCGAUUGCGAAGGCAGCUUACCAGGCUACUUCUGACGUUGAGGCACGAAAGCGUGGGGAGCAAACAGGAUUAGAUACCCCAGUAGUC